UACGGGGGGGAGCAAGCGUUGUUCGGAUUUACUGGGCGUAAAGGGCGCGUAGGCGGUCUGACAAGUCACUUGUGAAAUCUCCGGGCUUAACUCGGAACGGUCAAGUGAUACUGUCGGACUAGAGUACAGAAGGGGCAACUGGAAUUCUCGGUGUAGCGGUGAAAAUGCGUAGAUAUCGAGAGGAACACCUGCGGCGAAGGCGGGUUGCUGGGCUGAUACUGACUGAGGCGCGAAAGCCAGGGGGAGCGAAACGGGG
This 256-nucleotide ribosomal RNA is filed under the name uncultured bacterium. RNAcentral describes it as "partial 16S ribosomal RNA". It matches the Rfam family "Bacterial small subunit ribosomal RNA", at positions 524 to 778 of the family's 1533-position model. The record is from RNAcentral.